RNA transcript from Astyanax mexicanus (Mexican tetra), 1770 nucleotides. It is a transcript of the gene named checkpoint kinase 2, with no coding region annotated. The record is from RefSeq and is a predicted model, not a curated record. NCBI's taxonomy places the organism in Eukaryota, Metazoa, Chordata, Actinopteri, Characiformes, Acestrorhamphidae. The transcript has 15 exons.
GUACGGGCUGAGUCUGGCUGUGUUUUUAGGGUCCUGCUGGUUCUGAGGGUUCUCUGUUCUUGUAUUAUUAGUUUAACCCGGGUUUUCUCAGAGCAGCAUGUCGGAGGAGGCAGGACCAAGUGGGCACUCCCAGUCCCAGACCCAGUCUCAGCCUCAGUCCAGCUCAUCCUCCGGACCCACCUCGGCCAGCCAGUCCUCCUCAGGCUCUGGAACAUUGAGUUCUGUGGACACCGUUCCUGUGGCAGACCUUUCCUCCAUCCCUGAGGAACCUGAAGAACCUGAGCCCAAGUACUGGGGGCGCAUGGUUCCGCUAAUCAGGGGAUUCAACCUUCUGAAUUGUGUGGAUAACGUGUACUGUUUCGGAAGGGACAGCCGAUGCGACUAUGCUUUUAAAGAUCCAGCCAUUCUCAAUUCUCCACGCUAUAAAACCUAUAGCAAAAGACAUUUUAAAAUAUUUCGGGACGGGGAUUUAGCUUAUUUGCAGGACCUCAGUGGGAAUGGUACAUGGGUAGAUGACACUGAAGUGGGAAAAGGGAAAAAAAUCCCUCUUAAUAACAACUCUGUUGUUUCUCUCGCCGACCCGAAGCAUAAAGUUUUUAUGUAUGUAGACAUGAACCACGAUGAGCAGCCGAAUUUCCCCAAAGAGUUCAGAGAGAAAUAUCACGUCACACGGAAGAUCGGCUCUGGGGUGUGCGGGGAGGUGAGGCUAGCGAUCGAAAGAGAGACGUGCAAAAAAGUCGCUUUAAAGACGAUCAACAAAAACGACUUUCCUUCAGUUGGGACUGCCACGAGGAAUGCGGAACGGGAGAUCGAGAUACUAAAAAAAAUUGAUCACCCUUGUCUGAUUCGUACCGAAGAUUUUUACCAGACAGAGGAGUCGUAUUACAUCGUUUUGGAGUACGUAGAAGGUGGGGAACUCUUCACAAAAAUUAAGACAGAAAAGCAGCUGAAGGAGGAAAUUGCCAAGUUAUAUUUUUAUCAGAUGCUGAAGGCUGUAGAGUAUCUACACGAAAAUGGAAUCAUCCAUCGGGAUCUAAAACCUGAGAAUGUCCUGCUGACCUCUCAUGAGGACGAGUGCCUGAUCAAGAUUACGGAUUUUAACCAGUCCAAGAUCCUGGAGGAGUCGUCUCUGAUGAAGACGCUGUGCGGGACUCCCACGUAUUUAGCUCCUGAGGUUUUCACCGCAGCUUCCACAGGCGGCUACACGCGAGCGGUGGACUGCUGGAGCCUGGGAGUUCUCCUCUUCAUCUGUUUGGGCGGGUAUCCCCCUUUUAAUACGGAGAGCAGCCCCCUCCCCGUCCGGGAGCAGAUAAUAAAUGGACAGUACUGUUUUAUUCGCUCUCAGUGGAAGUCUGUGUCUAACGCGGCUAAAGACUUGGUGAAGAAGCUGCUGGUUGUGGAUCCUGUGAAGAGGAUCAGUAUAUCAGAAGCUCUGCAGCAUCCGUGGCUGAACAAAAAUAAUAAAAAUGGAUUGUUUUGGCUCGUAUUCUGCAGGACGUGGAGAUGAGAAGAACGGCACACACACUGAUGAACCUUGAAAACACCACCCAGGCCACCAAUCCAGCCACGGCAGCUACGGCAGCAUCUGUAGAACCCACACGACCAGCUAGAGCUUCUAAACGAAAAGCAGAAGGAGGAGCAGAAGGAGGAGACACUAAAAGGCGUCCAGCUCCAGACUCUGCACCAUAACCGUCCUAAAACUUCUUAUGUAUAAAUGUAAAUACGUCUCUGUGUAUUUAGUGUUUUUCCAAUAAACUUUUUACACAUUUA